RNAcentral lists this ribosomal RNA (497 nucleotides) under uncultured bacterium. RNAcentral's name for it is "partial 16S ribosomal RNA". It matches the Rfam family "Bacterial small subunit ribosomal RNA", at positions 28 to 507 of the family's 1533-position model. The record is from RNAcentral.
GAUGAACGCUGGCGGCGUGCCUAAUACAUGCAAGUCGAGCGAGCAGAUGAGGAGCUUGGUCCUCUGACGUUGUCGGCGGAGGGGUGAGUAACACGUGGAUAACCUACCUAUAAGACUGGGGUAACUACGGGAAACCGGAGCUAAUACCGGAUAAUAUAUUGAACCGGAUGGUGCAAUAGUUAAAGACGGUUUUGGGUUCAGUUAAAGAUUGAUCAGGCGCGCAUUAGCAGGUUGGUAAGGUAACGGCUUAGCCAGGCAAGGAUGGUGAGACGCCCCGAGCGGGUGAUCGCCCACACUGGAAGUGAGACACGUUCCACACUCCUACGGGAGGAAGCAGUAGGGAAUCCUCCGCGAUGGGCGAAAGCCUAACGGAGCAACGCCGCGUGAGUGAUGAAGCUCUUCGGAUCGUAAAACUCUGUUAUCAGGGAAGAACAAAUGUGUAAGUAACUAUGAACGUCUUGACGGUACCUAAUCAGAAAGCCCCGGCUAACUACGUG